Molecule: long non-coding RNA, 246 nt
Filed under: Elaeis guineensis (African oil palm)
Lineage: Eukaryota; Viridiplantae; Streptophyta; Magnoliopsida; Arecales; Arecaceae
Description: long non-coding RNA (EGUI_LNC035372)
Source: RNAcentral
CGGGAAACGUGCACCUGCAAAAAUGAGAAGUCCACACUGACCGGAGGCGGUUCCGGCGGGGACCCUCCGACGGUCAAGUCAGAGAGGUGACUGGGCAACAGUGAAAUGAAGACAGAGAGCUCGAUCGAGAGAGAGAGUGAGAGAGGAGCGAGCCUAUGGUUUUGGAGUCGAGAAGUGGGGGGAGCGGAUCAGAUCCCUUGCACUGUUGCCUUUUUCGGUUUAUAUAGUGGAGCACGGUAUGGCGCC